CCUACGGGAGGCAGCAGUGAGGAAUAUUGGUCAAUGGACGAAAGUCUGAUCCAGCCAAGUCGCGUGUAUGAUGAAUGCCCUCUGGGUUGUAAACUUCUUUUAUAAAGGGAUAAAACGAGUCGCGUGUGCCUUUUUGCAUUUACUUUAUGAAUACGUGUCGGCUAGCUCCGUGCCAGCAGACGCGGUAAUACGGAGGGUCCGAGCGUUAUUCGGAUUUAUUGGGUUUAAAGGGAACGUAGAUGGGUUGUUAAGUCAGUUGUGAAAUUUUGCGGCUCAACCGUAAAAUUGCAAUUGAUACUGGCAGGCUUGAGUACAGUAGAGGUAGGCGGAAUUCGUGGUGUAGCGGUGAAAUGCGUAGAGAUCACGAAGAACCCCGAUUGCGAAGGCAGCUUACUAAACGGUGACUGACACUGAUGUGCGAAAGUGUGGGUAUCAAACAGGAUUAGAUACCCGAGUAGUC
Molecule: ribosomal RNA, 460 nt
Filed under: uncultured bacterium
Lineage: Bacteria
Description: partial 16S ribosomal RNA
Rfam family: Bacterial small subunit ribosomal RNA
Source: RNAcentral